GCGACAGGCUUAACACAUGCAAGUCGAGGGGCAGCGGGGGUAGCGAUACCCGCCGGCGACCGGCGCACGGGUGAGUAACGCGUAUGCAACUUGCCUAUCAGAGGGGGAUAACCCGGCGAAAGUCGGACUAAUACCGCAUGAAGCAGGGGCCCCGCAUGGGGAUAUUUGCUAAAGAUUCAUCGCUGAUAGAUAGGCAUGCGUUCCAUUAGGCAGUUGGCGGGGUAACGGCCCACCAAACCGACGAUGGAUAGGGGUUCUGAGAGGAAGGUCCCCCACAUUGGUACUGAGACACGGACCAAACUCCUACGGGAGGCAGCAGUGAGGAAUAUUGGUCAAUGGCCGAGAGGCUGAACCAGCCAAGUCGCGUGAGGGAUGAAGGUUCUAUGGAUCGUAAACCUCUUUUAUAAGGGAAUAAAGUGCGGGACGUGUCCCGUUUUGUAUGUACCUUAUGAAUAAGGAUCGGCUAACUCCGUGCCAGCAGCCGCGGUAAUACGGAGGAUCCGAGCGUUAUCCGGAUUUAUUGGGUUUAAAGGGUGCGUAGGCGGCCUUUUAAGUCAGCGGUGAAAGUCUGUGGCUCAACCAUAGAAUUGCCGUUGAAACUGGGGGGCUUGAGUAUGUUUGAGGCAGGCGGAAUGCGUGGUGUAGCGGUGAAAUGCAUAGAUAUCACGCAGAACCCCGAUUGCGAAGGCAGCCUGCCAAGCCAUUACUGACGCUGAUGCACGAAAGCGUGGGGAUCAAACAGGAUUAGAUACCCUGGUAGUCCACGCAGUAAACGAUGAUCACUAGCUGUUUGCGAUACACUGUAAGCGGCACAGCGAAAGCGUUAAGUGAUCCACCUGGGGAGUACGCCGGCAACGGUGAAACUCAAAGGAAUUGACGGGGGCCCGCACAAGCGGAGGAACAUGUGGUUUAAUUCGAUGAUACGCGAGGAACCUUACCCGGGUUUGAACGCAUUCGGACCGAGGUGGAAACACCUUUUCUAGCAAUAGCCGUUUGCGAGGUGCUGCAUGGUUGUCGUCAGCUCGUGCCGUGAGGUGUCGGCUUAAGUGCCAUAACGAGCGCAACCCUUGCCACUAGUUACUAACAGGUAAAGCUGAGGACUCUGGUGGGACUGCCAGCGUAAGCUGUGAGGAAGGCGGGGAUGACGUCAAAUCAGCACGGCCCUUACAUCCGGGGCGACACACGUGUUACAAUGGCGUGGACAAAGGGAAGCCACCUGGCGACAGGGAGCGAAUCCCCAAACCACGUCUCAGUUCGGAUCGGAGUCUGCAACCCGACUCCGUGAAGCUGGAUUCGCUAGUAAUCGCGCAUCAGCCAUGGCGCGGUGAAUACGUUCCCGGGCCUUGUACACACCGCCCGUCAAGCCAUGGGAGCCGGGGGUACCUGAAGUCCGUAACCGCGAGGAUCGGCCUAGGGUAAAACUGGUGACUGGGGC
RNAcentral lists this ribosomal RNA (1435 nucleotides) under uncultured organism. RNAcentral's name for it is "16S ribosomal RNA". It matches the Rfam family "Bacterial small subunit ribosomal RNA". The record is from RNAcentral.